AGGGAGUUUGAUCCUGGCUCAGGACGAACGCUGGCGGCGUGCCUAACACAUGCAAGUCGAACGGAACUACUAGGAAGGAUCUCUUCGGAGAAACGGAAUUUUAGUUUAGUGGCGGACGGGUGAGUAACGCGUGAGUAACCUGCCUUUGAGAGGGGAAUAACGUUCUGAAAAGAACGCUAAUACCGCAUAACAUAUAUUGAUCGCAUGGUCGGUAUAUCAAAGAUUUAUCGCUCAAAGAUGGACUCGCGUCCGAUUAGCUUGUUGGCGGGGUAACGGCCCACCAAGGCGACGAUCGGUAGCCGGACUGAGAGGUUGAACGGCCACAUUGGGACUGAGACACGGCCCGGACUCCUACGGGAGGCAGCAGUGGGGGAUAUUGCGCAAUGGGGGCAACCCUGACGCAGCAACGCCGCGUGAAGGAUGAAGGUUUUCGGAUUGUAAACUUCUUUUGUCAGGGACGAAAUCUGACGGUACCUGACGAAUAAGCUCCGGCUAACUACGUGCCAGCAGCCGCGGUAAUACGUAGGGAGCAAGCGUUGUCCGGAUUUACUGGGUGUAAAGGGUGCGUAGGCGGCUAAGCAAGUCAGAUGUGAAAUCUAUGGGCUCAACCCAUAAACUGCAUUUGAAACUGCAUAGCUUGAGUGAAGUAGAGGCAGGCGGAAUUCCCCGUGUAGCGGUGAAAUGCGUAGAGAUGGGGAGGAACACCAGUGGCGAAGGCGGCCUGCUGGGCUUUAACUGACGCUGAGGCACGAAAGCGUGGGUAGCAAACAGGAUUAGAUACCCUGGUAGUCCCCU
This 795-nucleotide ribosomal RNA is filed under the name uncultured Bacillota bacterium. RNAcentral describes it as "bacterial SSU rRNA". It matches the Rfam family "Bacterial small subunit ribosomal RNA", at positions 1 to 799 of the family's 1533-position model. Lineage: Bacteria; Bacillati; Bacillota. The record is from RNAcentral.